GUCACUCAGGACAUUACAAAGGAGCUCUGUGUCAGAAGCUAGGAUUAAAGAACAAAUACAGAACAAAUUAUUCCUCCAGCACCCCUACUGCAAGGAUUUUAAGAACUCUAUCUCAGGAUAAAGACCUGAGGCCCAAGGAAGACGAAGAGAUAUCUGAAUGGCCUGGACAUGGCAUGUAAAAAUGACUCAGCCAACAGCUGGAAAGAAGCUGCUGGCCUUCAGGUCACAAGAUGUACAUUGCUGGCCUCAGCUGGAUUUUCCCAGGGUCAGGUGCCCAUUCCUACCUAAUCAAAGGACACUUCUGCUGACCUGCACCUAGAAUACCCUGUUCUGUGCUGAUGACUCAGAUGUAAGAAUGAUGAAGUGCAUCGGCUGGCAUGCAGAGAACAAUAAGAAAAAGAACUGAGUUGUGGGAAGACAUGAGGAAAGGACAUGAGGCUCUUAAUAACAGCUGCCAAGUACUGCAGUCGGGAAUCUGGAGCAAAGUGAUUCAAUUCUGACCACUGCCUGUGAGUAAAUGGGAUUUUAUUUUUCAAUACUUUUGUUUAAUAGUACCUCCUUCAUUACAUGUGAACAGCACUCCAGGACAGUAAAUCAUGAAAUGGGAAUAAAGCCUGUAAUUUUAAUUAACAUAUUUUAAAAUGUUUCUAAUUUGUAUGCAUUUGAUCAAAUUUUCAUUUGCAUUGAGCUAUUUUUUUUCUUUCUCAUGUAAUGUUUGACAUUACCAUUUCUUUCUUUAAUGAAAUACUAAUAUUUAAUAAAAUAUAUUACAUCCU
RNAcentral lists this long non-coding RNA (776 nucleotides) under Homo sapiens (human). Its description in RNAcentral is "HSALNT0122991". Lineage: Eukaryota; Metazoa; Chordata; Mammalia; Primates; Hominidae. The record is from RNAcentral.